Small nucleolar RNA from Nycticebus coucang (slow loris), 128 nucleotides. The record is from RefSeq and is a predicted model, not a curated record. Lineage: Eukaryota; Metazoa; Chordata; Mammalia; Primates; Lorisidae.
GUGUCCAGAUUCAACUGACAUUAAAAGUGUCCUCUUGGGUCAGGCUGCAGCGCCAGAGCACAGGCUUGCGUAUAACUGGGGCCGCCUGCCCUCACCACGGGCUGCCCUUUUAACCGCGAGCGACACAG